GCGGGUGUAGCUCAGUUGGUUAGAGCGCUGGCCUGUCACGCCAGAGGCCGCGGGUUCAAGUCCCGUCACUCGCGCCA
This 77-nucleotide transfer RNA is filed under the name Rhodothalassium salexigens. RNAcentral's name for it is "tRNA-Asp". It matches the Rfam family "tRNA". Rfam says of the family: Transfer RNA (tRNA) molecules are approximately 80 nucleotides in length. Their secondary structure includes four short double-helical elements and three loops (D, anti-codon, and T loops). Lineage: Bacteria; Pseudomonadati; Pseudomonadota; Alphaproteobacteria; Rhodothalassiales; Rhodothalassiaceae. RNAcentral also lists the same sequence under 5 other names. The record is from RNAcentral.